UCCAUCUCAACGCGGCUCAUGCGGUAAGGAGCAAUUGAAAUAGGCUGGGUGCCUAACUGUAGGUUUAUGGUGAAUUCGACUUCUCUGUCCACUGGUAGUCCGAGUAGUGCAUCCGAAAAUACAUCUGAAAAGUCUCGGACUAUCAGAAUCUCUUGAAUACAAUUCUCUUUCUUGGGUUUACCUAGUUAGAGAAAAUAGUAGGGUUAAAGUACUCGACGAAUAAGAAAACUUACCAUCAAGGAAUAAGUACUAAAU
This 255-nucleotide long non-coding RNA is filed under the name Carica papaya (papaya). Its description in RNAcentral is "long non-coding RNA (CPAP_LNC007444)". The record is from RNAcentral. Lineage: Eukaryota; Viridiplantae; Streptophyta; Magnoliopsida; Brassicales; Caricaceae.